UGGUGGAGUAAUUUGUCUGGUUAAUUCCGUUAACGAACGAGACCUUAACCUGCUAAAUAGUUACAUGUAGCUUCGGCUACAUGGGCAACUUCUUAGAGGGACUUUGUGUGUCUAACGCAAGGAAGUUUGAGGCAAUAACA
This 140-nucleotide ribosomal RNA is filed under the name uncultured eukaryote. RNAcentral describes it as "partial 18S ribosomal RNA". It matches the Rfam family "Eukaryotic small subunit ribosomal RNA", at positions 1299 to 1458 of the family's 1831-position model. The record is from RNAcentral.